Molecule: long non-coding RNA, 317 nt
Organism: Helianthus annuus (common sunflower)
Lineage: Eukaryota; Viridiplantae; Streptophyta; Magnoliopsida; Asterales; Asteraceae
Exons: 3
Source: RefSeq, a predicted model, not a curated record
AGGAAAUCCUUUGUCAGCCGGUAAACCAGUUCUGGUUUCUCCGGAACUCUCCUUGAAAGCACAUUUCUAUGUAUUGCAAAAUACGCCCGAAAUUGUGCCUUAUAUUGAACAACACAUGACCUUUUUGAAAAACCGACAUGGUGGUAAACCACAAGCGUGGCUGGAGAAAGAGCAUAACACAACGUUUGGUCACUGGUUACGUAACAAGGUUGAAAAAGAGUUAGCGGUUUCCACAGAAAGUAUAUCAGAAACCGUAAAGUGGAUUUCACAUGGAGCACACAGCAACGUAUUAAAAUACGAUGUAUAUGAAAUCAAUG